Molecule: ribosomal RNA, 1258 nt
Filed under: Entiminae sp. ACP-2013
Lineage: Eukaryota; Metazoa; Arthropoda; Insecta; Coleoptera; Curculionidae
Description: 16S ribosomal RNA
Rfam family: Archaeal large subunit ribosomal RNA (bases 1047-1205)
Source: RNAcentral
UUUUAAAUAUUAUUUAAUUUAUUUUUUAUAAAAUUUUAAAAUAAGAAUAUUUAGUUUUUAUUAUAUAUUAAGAAAAAAUUUUUUUUAAUUAUAGAGUAAUAGUAUUGUAAAAGAAUUUUUUUAAAGUUUAAAAUAGAAAAAUUAAUUUUUUGUACCUUGUGUAUCAGGGUUUAUUAAAUAAAAUUUAAAAAUUUAAUAUUCUCGAAUUAAUAAGAGCUAUAUAUAUAUAUAUGUUUUUGUAGAAUAAAAAUUAUUAAUAUAAAUAUAGAAAUGAAACAUUAUUCGGUUAUUAAUAUAUCUAGUUUUAAAAGAAAAAAAUUUAAUUUUUUUAUUAAAAAUUAUAAAAUUUAAUUUUUUAAUUUUAUAUUAUUUAGUAUUUUAUAUUUAAAGGGAUGAGCUUUUAAAUAUAUAAUUUUAAAAUAAAUAUUAAUUAUUAUUUAAGUAGGAUUAUAAGUUUUUUUCUUUAAGAGUGUGUUAUAACUUUUUUUUUAUAAAUAUAAUUUUUAUAUUUUUUAAAAUUUUUUAUUUUAAAAAAAAUUUUAAUAUAAUUUAUUUUGUUAUAAUGAUAAAAUUAGUAAAAUAUUUUGUAUAAAAUUAUUUUGUUUGAAGGUUAAAUAAAGGAACUCGGCAAAUUUAUUUUUCACCUGUUUAUUAAAAACAUGGCUUUUUGAGUAUAAUUUAAAGUCUGGCCUGCCCAAUGAUUUAAUUAAAUGGCUGCGGUAUUUUGACCGUGCAAAGGUAGCAUAAUCAUUAGUUUUUUAAUUGAAAGCUGGUAUGAAAGGUUGGAUGAGAAAAUAGCUGUCUCUAUUUAAAUUUAUUUUAAUUUUAUUUUUAAGUAAAAAAGCUUAAAUUAUUAUAGAAGACGAGAAGACCCUAUAGAGUUUUAUUUAUUUUUUAAUUAGAAGUUUUAGAAUUUAAAUAUUUUAUUUAUAAAAGUAAAUUUAAUUGGGGUGAUUAAAAAAUUUAAUAAACUUUUUUUUUAUUUAAUCAUUAAUUUAUGAAAGAUUGAUCCUUAUAUAAAGAUUAUAAGAUAAAAUUACCUUAGGGAUAACAGCGUAAUUUUUUUGGAGAGUUCUAAUCGAUAAGAAAGAUUGCGACCUCGAUGUUGGAUUAAAAUUUAAUUUUGGUGUAGAAGCUAAAAUUUUAGGUCUGUUCGACCUUUGAAAUUUUACAUGAUCUGAGUUUAAACCGGCGUGAGCCAGGUUGGUUUCUAUCUCUAUUUAAUUAAAAUACUUUAGUACGAAAGGACCAAGUAUUU